AUUGAACGCUGGCGGCAGGCCUAACACAUGCAAGUCGAGCGGAAACGAUCCUAGCUUGCUAGGAGGCGUCGAGCGGCGGACGGGUGAGUAACACGUGAGAAUCUGCCCAUUAGAGGGGGAUAACCUGGGGAAACCCAGGCUAAUACCGCAUAAUCCCUACGGGGGAAAGCAGGGGAUCUUCGGACCUUGUGCUGAUGGAUGAGCUCGCGUCGGAUUAGCUUGUUGGUGAGGUAAUGGCUCACCAAGGCGACGAUCCGUAGCUGGUCUUAGAGGAUGAUCAGCCACACCGGGACUGAGACACGGCCCGGACUCCUACGGGAGGCAGCAGUGGGGAAUCUUGGACAAUGGGGGCAACCCUGAUCCAGCCAUGCCGCGUGUGUGAAGAAGGCCUUCGGGUUGUAAAGCACUUUCAGUAGGGAGGAAGGCUUAUCCUUAAUACGGAUGAGUACUUGACGUUACCUACAGAAGAAGCACCGGCUAAUUUCGUGCCAGCAGCCGCGGUAAUACGAAAGGUGCGAGCGUUAAUCGGAAUUACUGGGCGUAAAGCGCACGUAGGCGGUUUGCUAAGUCAGAUGUGAAAGCCCCGGGCUCAACCUGGGAACUGCAUUUGAAACUGGCAGGCUAGAAUGCAGUAGAGGGAGGUGGAAUUUCCGGUGUAGCGGUGAAAUGCGUAGAGAUCGGAAGGAACACCAGUG
Molecule: ribosomal RNA, 695 nt
Filed under: uncultured Alcanivorax sp.
Lineage: Bacteria; Pseudomonadati; Pseudomonadota; Gammaproteobacteria; Oceanospirillales; Alcanivoracaceae
Description: bacterial SSU rRNA
Rfam family: Bacterial small subunit ribosomal RNA
Source: RNAcentral